RNAcentral lists this ribosomal RNA (229 nucleotides) under uncultured eukaryote. Its description in RNAcentral is "partial 18S ribosomal RNA". It matches the Rfam family "Eukaryotic small subunit ribosomal RNA", at positions 1208 to 1456 of the family's 1831-position model. The record is from RNAcentral.
GGAAACCUCACCAGGUCCAGACAUAGUAAGGAUUGACAGAUUGAUAGCUCUUUCUUGAUUCUUUGGGUGGUGGUGCAUGGCCGUUCUUAGUUGGUGGAGUGAUCUGUCUGGGUAACUCCGUUAACGAACGAGACCUUAGCCUGCUAAAUAGUCACCUGUUAGUUUAACUAACUUGGCGGCUUCUUAGAGGGACUUUGUGUGAUUAAUACAAGGAAGUUUGAGGCAAUAA